This 662-nucleotide ribosomal RNA is filed under the name uncultured bacterium. RNAcentral's name for it is "bacterial SSU rRNA". It matches the Rfam family "Bacterial small subunit ribosomal RNA", at positions 115 to 754 of the family's 1533-position model. The record is from RNAcentral.
GCGUGGGCAACCUGCCCUCUAGAUGGGGACAACAUCCCGAAAGGGGUGCUAAUACCGAAUGUGACAGCAAUCUCGCAUGAGGAUGCUGUGAAAGAUGGCCUCUAUUUAUAAGCUAUCGCUAGAGGAUGGGCCUGCGUCUGAUUAGCUAGUUGGUGGGGUAACGGCCUACCAAGGCGAUGAUCAGUAGCCGGUCUGAGAGGAUGAACGGCCACAUUGGGACUGAGACACGGCCCAGACUCCUACGGGAGGCAGCAGUGGGGAAUCUUCCGCAAUGGGCGAAAGCCUGACGGAGCAAUGCCGCGUGAGUGAUGAAGGAAUUCGUUCCGAAAAGCUCUUUUGUUUAUGACGAAUGUGCAGGCUGUGAAUAAUGACUUGUAAUGACGGUAGUAAACGAAUAAGCCACGGCUAACUACGUGCCAGCAGCCGCGGUAAUACGUAGGUGGCGAGCGUUGUCCGGAAUUAUUGGGCGUAAAGAGCAUGUAGGCGGUUUUUUAAGUCUGGAGUGAAAAUGCGGGGCCCAACCCCGUAUGGCUCUGGAUACUGGAAGACUUGAGUGCAGGAGAGGAAAGGGGAAUUCCCAGUGUAGCGGUGAAAUGCGUAGAUAUUGGGAGGAACACCAGUGGCGAAGGCGCCUUUCUGGACUGUGUCUGACGCUGAGAUGC